This is a long non-coding RNA of Vigna unguiculata (cowpea), 3134 nucleotides long. The record is from RefSeq and is a predicted model, not a curated record. NCBI's taxonomy places the organism in Eukaryota, Viridiplantae, Streptophyta, Magnoliopsida, Fabales, Fabaceae.
UUUAACUAAAUUUUUUCCAUCUCCUCCGGUGGCUACAAGUACAAUGAUCAACUUUGAGUCCUAUGUCUUUAGGACUGUUGGGAGAUCAACUUUGAGGAUUUGAAGCUCGGUGACCUCCUCGCCACAUGAUUCGUGUACUCUGCCAGCGAAGUGGAGUCGAUCCUCGACUCGUCGCGCAAGGACAGUUACGAAAAACAUGCCUUCGUCGAGCUAGGGUUUGAUUGGAACGAGACCUUCGACUUCAAAGUUGCGUUCACCGAUAACGAGAAGUAUGUCUACCAUGAGCAUGUGAAGGAAUUUGGUGACUCUGCCAUCGCUGAAGAAUAUGAAAUCGACAUUCAUCUUGCCGCCAACGCUUUCAUCAAACGGCAAUGACGACGUCGAUUGUUCUUCCGCCACCUUUACCUCCUUCAUCGACAACGAAAUCAGUCUUGGCAACGCGUGGAGCAAAUUCUACUCGACAACAAACAUCCCAAACCCAACAACGGUGCUCCUACCUUCGGCUUCGAUUCUUAUGGUAGUUGAACAAUUUUGACAAGCUUUGGAGAUUUCACCACAGUGUGUGCCUGCACAAUAUGGACUUGCUUUGGGGCUGCUUGGUUUGGCAAAAAGACUGCAUCAAUCUAGGAGCAUAUAGAUGGGGGGCUUCACUGUUACAGGUUUUUCUCUUCAAUAUUUUGUCUUUAAUAAUUAUUAUGUUGUUUUUUAUUAAGUUUUCAGUGCUUUGGUUGCUUUUAUAAAUUCUUUUAGAAGUCUUCUGAUGCAAAUAUGUUACAGGCUUCUCGAGAGGUUCAAGAUUUAGAUGUAGACAACCUUUUGUUUAUUUCUCAAAUUCUGUGUGGUGGAGACUAAGAGUGUAGUUAUCAAACAUUGUUAUUGCUUAUGCAUUAAUGGCACAUUAAAUAGUAAUCAGAGGAAGAGAAAAAGCAUAAGAAAAUGGAAUAAAGCAAAGGAAGAGUUUGUGUAACAAGAGGAAAUAUGACUAGAAGAACAUAGAGAAAAGAGGGACCCUUAUGGUAACAUCCUUCGACUCACGGAGUUUAUGAGCAAGGUAUUGAUGAGAUUUGCAAGAUUAUUCAUGAUAAUUAUGAGAACAUUGUUAGUAUGACCACUUAAUUGCAAAGCAGGUUUGUUUAUGAUUGGAAAUUUACUUUUUCCAUAUUGGAUUUGAAGCAAAGAUCUUGUGUAUCAUUAAUCAUUACUGUCAUGCCCAAUUGUUAAGCAUAUUUUAUAUUUCUCGAAUAUUUUUAUUGGCUGCACAAGCAAAGGAGAGAAUACAGAGACUAGUUAAAUCUGGGGUUAGAGUGGUGCCAAAUUACUGCUGGACGGAAGAAAUAUUGUGGUAGCUUUUAUAUCCUCUUAAAACAUUCUGUUAGAGGAGAUGGAUAAGGAAGAGAAGAGUGAAUUGGUGGAUGAAGAGGCUGCCCCAAUCGGUGGAAUUAGAGAACUGUUGCAGGGGAUGAAGAAGGAGAAGCAGAAGGAGGUGGUUGGUCAUAAGUGGCAGAAUCAGGUGAAGGGCGUGGGGCAGUCUAGGUACCAGGAGUGAGAAGAAGGCAGGUGAAGAUCGAGACCGAGGUGUGGGAGGAGGCGGUAAGGGAGUAUAGGGAGCUUUUGGCGGACAUGUGUGAGCAGAAGUUGGCACCCAACUUGCCGUACAUGAAGUCGCUAUUUCUUGGCUGGUUUGAGCCUCUAAGGGAUGCCAUUGCCAAGGAACAGGAAAUGUAUAAUUCAGGGAGGAAUAGGACAGCCUAUGCACCGUACUUUGUGCAGUUACCGGUGGACAAGAUGGCAGUUAUCACAGUGCAUAAGUUAAUGGGGCUGUUGAUGACCGGAACCGAGCAUGCCACCGUUGGCACUGCCAGGGUUGUGCAGGCUGCGUGCGGUAUAGGUGAUGCCAUUGAAAAUCAGGUUAGAAUAUACAAGUUUUUGGAGAAAACUAAGAAGAAAAGGGUGAUAGAAGCAAGAAAAAUGAAGCAGUCGAGUCUGUUGGGGACAUCAAAGAAGAACAAAAGCUAUGGAAAAAAUUCAUUGAUUUGAUGAAAAAGCAAAAGCUAGUCGCAGUUAGGCGCUGGUGAAGGACAAGGACGAUACAAAACCGUGGGGAACAGUCAUAAAGACAAAGGUUGGAAGCCGUUUAAUUGAGCUCUUGUUGCAAACAGCAUAUAUACAACCAUCAUCAGAUCAAUUACUGGAUGAUGCACGUGAUAUCCGACCUGCAUUUAUUCAUUCAUUUAUAACAGUGACAAAAGAGUCAAUUAAAUCAAGCAGAAGAUAUGGUAUUAUUCAAUGUGACCCACUAAUUCUUUAAGGCCUUGACAGAACUGCCAAAAAUAUGGUUAUUCCUUAUAUGCCUAUAUGUUGUUUCCACCAGUCAACUGGACAGAGUAUGAUAACUAACGCAUUUAUUUGCUGUCUUGCUACCUUUCUGUAUUUCGAUCUUAUUGUUGGGUAUGAUUUCAAAGCUUUUUCUUUAAACUAAUGCUAUGAAUUGGGGUAGAAGGUGGUUCAAACUCCAAACAAGGUAACAAAAAUAUGAAGAAGAUUGUCAGCGUAUGAUACUCUUUAAUAUACUACCCUUUGAUGCAUAUGCUACACGAAGUACUAUUAUGGUGUUGUAGCUAUCUGAUAUAAUUUUCGUGAAAUUUAAUGGAAAAUUUUUGUCGACAAAUUAUAAUUAAAUUUUUUUUCAUUCUCAUCCACUCAACUUGAAUCCUGGAUUAUGAUUAAUCUUUCUUUUCAUUACAUUGUAAGAUGGAUCCAAGGGACACAGUAAUAAUUCCUGAACUUCUUUUCUCAAAAUUAUCAAAGUCAAUUGCCUCCUGAGUUGACUAUGUUCAAUCUUGCACCGGUAAUGUUUAAGAUUGCAUAACUUCUUUUAUUUUUCAGAGUUUACAUUUGUAAUUAUGAUUCACAUUUAUAUUGUAGGUUUCUGAUCAAGGAAGUGUGCCAACUAAUAUAACAAGUUCUGUACAUAAGGAAAAUCAUAUGUGAUAGUUGAAGAAUAUAAUAUAAUGUGGAAGUUAAUUGAAUCAUUUUAUGUUUUGAGAACCAUUGCAGUACUUCAUGAUAGUUUUUGCUGACUAAUAUUGUACUUGAAUUUGAAUUUGAAUUCGUAUAUUUGUUAUACUUUGAAA